Molecule: ribosomal RNA, 301 nt
Filed under: uncultured bacterium
Lineage: Bacteria
Description: partial 16S ribosomal RNA
Rfam family: Bacterial small subunit ribosomal RNA
Source: RNAcentral
CAGUCGCCGCGGGAAUACGUAGGUGGCAAGCGUUGUCCGGAAUUAUUGGGCGUAAAGGGCUCGCAGGCGGUUUCUUAAGUCUGAUGUGAAAGCCCCCGGCUCGACCGGGGAGGGUCAUUGGAAACUGGGAAACUUGAGUGCAGAAGAGGAGAGUGGAAUUCCACGUGUAGCGGUGAAAUGCGUAGAGAUGUGGAGGAACACCAGUGGCGAAGGCGACUCUCUGGUCUGUAACUGACGCUGAGGAGCGAAAGCGUGGGGAGCGAACAGGAUUAGAGACCCCCGUAGUCCCUGUCUCUUAUAC